AGAAUCAACGCUGGCGGCGUGCCUAACACAUGCAAGUCGCACGAGAAAGGGACUUCGGUCUUGAGUAAAGUGGCGCACGGGUGAGUAACACGUGACUAAUCUACCCUCGAGUGGGGAAUAACUGAGAGAAAUCUUAGCUAAUACCGCAUAACACUUACGAGUCAAAGCAGCAAUGCGCUUGGGGAGGAGGUCGCGGCCGAUUAGCUAGUUGGCGGGGUAAUGGCCCACCAAGGCGAUGAUCGGUAUCCGGCCUGAGAGGGCGCACGGACACACUGGAACUGAAACACGGUCCAGACUCCUACGGGAGGCAGCAGUGGGGAAUUUUGCGCAAUGGGGGAAACCCUGACGCAGCAACGCCGCGUGGAGGAUGAAGUAUCUUGGUACGUAAACUCCUUUCGAUGGGGAAGAUAAUGACGGUACCAUAGAAGAAGCCCGGCUAACUUCGCGCCAGCAGCCGC
This 458-nucleotide ribosomal RNA is filed under the name uncultured bacterium. RNAcentral's name for it is "SSU rRNA". It matches the Rfam family "Bacterial small subunit ribosomal RNA", at positions 26 to 518 of the family's 1533-position model. The record is from RNAcentral.